RNAcentral lists this ribosomal RNA (253 nucleotides) under uncultured bacterium. RNAcentral describes it as "partial 16S ribosomal RNA". It matches the Rfam family "Bacterial small subunit ribosomal RNA", at positions 524 to 776 of the family's 1533-position model. The record is from RNAcentral.
UACAGAGUUGGCAAGCGUUGUUCGGAAUUACUGGGCGUAAAGCGUGCGCAGGCGGUUUUUUAAUACAGAUGUGAAAUCCCCGGGCUUAACCUGGGAACUGCAUUUGUGACUGCAAGACUAGAGUGCGGCAGAGGGGGGUAGAAUUCCACGUGUAGCAGUGAAAUGCGUAGAUAUGUGGAGGAAUACCGAUGGCGAAGGCAGCCCCCUGGGUCGACACUGACGCUCAUGCACGAAAGCGUGGGGAGCAAACGGG